Molecule: small nuclear RNA, 69 nt
Filed under: Hirsutella minnesotensis 3608
Lineage: Eukaryota; Fungi; Ascomycota; Sordariomycetes; Hypocreales; Ophiocordycipitaceae
Source: RNAcentral
CGCAGAGAAGAUUAGCAUGGCCCCUGCACUAAGGAUGACACGCUAUUCAAAGAGAAGCUGAACAUUUUU